Long non-coding RNA from Anguilla anguilla (European eel), 1169 nucleotides. RefSeq lists it as uncharacterized. The transcript has 2 exons. The record is from RefSeq and is a predicted model, not a curated record. Lineage: Eukaryota; Metazoa; Chordata; Actinopteri; Anguilliformes; Anguillidae.
UUUUCUUUUCUUUUUUUUUUGAUUUUCUGACUUCCAAGGUAUACCUCGCAAUUAUUAAACAAAACGUAGAUGGAAGAAUGUAUUAAUUAUACUGUUAUGCAUACAACAACACAACUGGCAUUCCGUCAUACACUGAUGCACCCAGUACUGGCACUCCUAAAGCUGAGUGUAUGGUGUUCUGCAAGCUUUACAAUGACACAACAGUGAGUUUACUGUUUGAAGCCUCUGGCAAGUUCUCACGUUUCUGCUUGGCUUAUCAUAAUAACACUUUCGUUUCAGAGGCUCAGCCCAUUCUGAGUAAAGCAGCCCAACCCACACUAGUUUUCCCAUGGGAGAAACAGAAGGCUGGAGGAGGCAGCCGUUAACGCGUCCCUUCCCCCAAACGACAUUCUACUUGUGUUCAGAGAGUGUGAAACAAUAGGAAGACGUCGCACUGUGGCCAUCAAGACCUGGGUGAAUAGCCCUGCUAAAGGGGUAACUCUCUGGGUCUUCUCUCAGAGCAAAGGUGACAUCUUGUGGCAAGUGGACAUCAUGAGUAAAAAGUCAAGGUCAGACUAACAUUACAGAUAUCUCAUUAAAAAGAAGCAGAAGAGGCUGUUCUUUUGCCCAGUCCCGUCAUCAAAGCCCCCCUCCCCCAUUUGUUUUUUUUUUCUUGUCAAACUUCCCAAUGAUUGUGCGUGUUCCUUUUCUUGAAAAAGCUUUUUAAACAGCGCACAACUACUAAAGAACAUAUUCUUUAUAUAUUCACAUUUUCAAACAAUCUACUGUGAUGUACUACUGAUAUGCAGUUACAAUAUGCAUAAUUCUCCAGACAUUGUUCAUAAAUAAAGCAUGUUAUUGAAAACUCUUGAAAGUUAAGUUAGAAUUUAAAAAAAACAAACUACAUCAGUGCCCUGUGUGUCACGUGAUUUGAUAAUUGCAACAACAAAAAAAAAGAUUUCCAUUGCCUAAUUAUUCUUGUGGUGAACUACAAUGUGAGGCAUUGUUCUUUUGGUGUAACACCACCAGUAUACACAGUAUUCACAUUGUCUGAAUGCUUUGCAGAUUUAAAGAAUUAAUGGCGGGAACAAAAGGAUCAGAGCUGCUGCAUUAAAAAUCCCUUAUUUUUUUUGUAUAUUUACCUAAUUUAUACUGAGGUUUGCAAUAAAUAAAGACGUUUUCAGAAUGAA